Molecule: ribosomal RNA, 776 nt
Filed under: uncultured bacterium
Lineage: Bacteria
Description: bacterial SSU rRNA
Rfam family: Bacterial small subunit ribosomal RNA
Source: RNAcentral
AGAGUUUGAUCCUGGCUCAGGAUGAACGCUGGCGGCGUGCUUAACACAUGCAAGUCGAACGAGAGAAGAUUGGUGCUUGCACUGAUCCGAUCGAGUGGCGGACGGGUGAGUAACGCGUGGGUAACCUGCCUCAUACAGGGGAAUAACAGUUGGAAACGGCUGCUAAAACCGCAUAAGCGCACAGUAUCGCAUGAUACAGUGUGAAAAACUCCGGUGGUAUGAGAUGGACCCGCGUCUGAUUAGCUAGUUGGUGAGGUAACGGCCCACCAAGGCGACGAUCAGUAGCCGGCCUGAGAGGGUGAACGGCCACAUUGGGACUGAGACACGGCCCAAACUCCUACGGGAGGCAGCAGUGGGGAAUAUUGCACAAUGGGGGAAACCCUGAUGCAGCGACGCCGCGUGAGCGAAGAAGUAUUUCGGUAUGUAAAGCUCUAUCAGCAGGGAAGAAGAAUGACGGUACCUGACUAAGAAGCACCGGCUAAAUACGUGCCAGCAGCCGCGGUAAUACGUAUGGUGCAAGCGUUAUCCGGAUUUACUGGGUGUAAAGGGAGCGCAGGCGGUGCGGCAAGUCUGAUGUGAAAGCCCGGGGCUCAACCCCGGUACUGCAUUGGAAACUGUCGUACUAGAGUGUCGGAGGGGUAAGUGGAAUUCCUAGUGUAGCGGUGAAAUGCGUAGAUAUUAGGAGGAACACCAGUGGCGAAGGCGGCUUACUGGACGAUAACUGACGCUGAGGCUCGAAAGCGUGGGGAGCAAACAGGAUUAGAUACCCUGGUAGU